Molecule: long non-coding RNA, 1466 nt
Organism: Lingula anatina
Lineage: Eukaryota; Metazoa; Brachiopoda; Lingulata; Lingulida; Lingulidae
Source: RefSeq, a predicted model, not a curated record
CAAAAAUCAACACCAGAAAAGAAAAUGCUAAAAACAGUGUAUCAGCAAAUAUACAACAAACAAACAAGCACCGGCAAGGAAGAAGGCAUAUGAAAACCUGCUUGGGUGGCCAUGGAUACGAAGGAUCGCCAGGCCGUGAAGUAACAUUUUCCUAUGGGAUGCCUGAACUGGAAGAAGUGCAGAUGGAAGAGGAGGAAGAUGCUGAAGAAGAGGGAAUUAAAGGAUCCUGAUGAUCCAACAUGGGACUAAAACAUGUGUUUAGAACCUUUAAGAUUAUGAGCAACUGCCAGUAUGAUGUCUUGAAGAAGAGAUUUUUUUUUUACUUGGAAGAGGAACUCCAUGACUCUCCACCAAAAGACGAGGAACUUUUCUUGAGGGUCCAAAGCCGGGAUGAGUUGGAUAGUGAGAGACUUUUCCUGACUUUUGAGUGCUCCUUACAGGAUAUAUUCAGUGAACCCAUCUUGCCACUGUGACAAAGCAUAAUCUGUUGACUUCAAGCCAUGUAGUACUGGCAUGUAUGCUAUAAUGCAGACAGAUUGGAAGUCAAAGUGGUCUUUCCUCCCAAACCAAAGUUAUAUGCCUGAUAUUGAGAAGAAACCAUUUUGGUCCAGCAUUUACUUCUUAAAUCUAAAUUUAAUGGCAUCAAAUGUAUUAUGGAAUAUGGUACUGGUGGCAUAUUGUGACUUCAACUUGAUUUUAAACUACUGUGUUGUCAUAUUUUGUAAGAUCACCAGUUGCAGAGUUUUGUGACUUUGUUACAGCAUAAAAUUCUGUAUUUGGCAAAUGACUGUAUGUCUUUUCUUUUAUAAAAGACCUUUCUUCUUUUUUAAAAGACCUUUCUUAAAAGACCUACAAAAUGGUUUGAGUGAACACUUGUGCCUGUAUUCAAUUCUCCACUCAGCCAUAAUUUAGAAUUCAUGUAGGGAAGCCAUACCUGUAUUUUUUAAAGAAAUAUUUAUACCUUUCUAUUUAUUCCCUGCACAUCUUGGAAAAGUAUGUGUGAAUAUCUUACCUAUGAAACAAUUUAUGUUUGUGUAAGUUGGGUAAGGCCCUUCUUAUGACACAUUCCUUUGCAUGGAGACUUUUGUGUCUGCUUACAUGAGUCAAUACACUGACAGAGAGGGGGAUAAUUUGUUGAUCUGCAAUGCCCAUGGGUCUGCAUGUACAUCAGAUUCUUAACAUGAUAGCCCGGCUGUUAAUAAGUCUCUCUCAAAAAUGUUACCAUACUAUAAUGUGUACUGCACAAUGUGAAAGUUUGUGAAUGCUUGAAUGGAAGGCUUAUUUAUGAAGAGGACAUUAAUAAGUAUGAAAAUAAUUAUGCAUUUUAGCUUGCAAUAUCUGUGUAUGUCUUAUUCAUUACGUGUGACAGGUAAUAAUAAAGAUGAUUUGGCCAAAUUCUAAACUUAUGUAGCAAACUUUGUUUAUUCUUGUAUUUUUGCCAAAUAUAAAUAAAAGAUGUUUCAAUA